AUAAUAUAUAUAUAUAUAUAUAUAUAUAUAUGUGUGUGUGUAAUUGAGUAAGCUAAGUAAAGAAGACAAAGAAGAAGAGAGGUCGGUUGAGGGAGAGUAAAAGAGAAAUAAAAGAGCAAAGGAAAGGAAAACAAAGAGAAAACCGUGCGUGAGAAAGAAAGUGAGAGGAGGGAGAGAGCUGAGUUGAGGGGCUGUUUUUGCUACCAUUCAAGAAGGAAAAGAGAGCCAUUUAAGGGCUAGUUUCGGAGGCUGAAAAGUGCCAUUUUUUUGCUAAUUUUGGAGGCCAAAAAGUGCAGAUUUGCUGUUGAUUUUGGAGGCCAAAAAGUGUAAAUUUUUGCAACAGAAUUUGAAGGUUUUGAGGUGCUGUUUUGAUGGUUAAUUGUGGUUGUUUUGGCUGCAAAUUCUUGGAGGGAAAAGUGCAGCUUAGCUGCUGAAUUUUUGAGGAAAAACAAAGCAGCAUAGCUGCUGAUUUUGAAGCAAAAAUAAGCAACCUUAGCUAUUGAAAAAUUUAAAAGUUGAAAGGCAAGAAAGGGUGACCGGUGGUGAGAGGGAGAAAGUGGAAGAGAGUGGGACAGUUUGUGCAUGUGAAGAGAAGAAAAAGAAAGACAAACAAGGCUGCAGGACGGUGGGAGAGAAAGAAAGAAAGAAAGAAACGAAAAGAAAAGAAAAGAAAAGAAAAGAAAAGAAAGGAAAAGAAAAUAAUAAGAAAGGGAAAUGGGCAUGGCCCAACAAAAUAGAAAAUUGGACAUGGCCCAAUAAAGGAAGAAUGGGCAUGGCCCAAUUAAAAAGAAAUGGGAGAAGUCCAUGAAGAAGAGUCCAAAAACACCAAAGGAAGAAAAAUCCAAAAGAAAAGGAAGGUGGAGAUUUGGGCCAACCUAACUUAAUUGGGUAAAAUUCUUUACUCUUCUCCAUGACUUAUUAUGAAAUUGGACUAUAUGGAGGCUAGCUUAUUUUAUUUAAUUAUACAUUGGUUAGUUGGUGAUAGGAAAUAAAUUUAAGUUGCUUAGAAGGUUGAAAUAGGCACUUAAUACCGUAAAUAAGUUACCGCUGUUAAUAAUCUAAAGAAUUACGUGAGUAAAGGAUGCAAUUAAUUAUAGUAAAAAUAUAUUAAGAUGUGAAUUAGGUGAGUGGAUUUAUAAUAGAAUGAGAGGAAGAGAAGUGAAAUUAAUGCACUAAAUAUAGUGGAUUUAAAUUAUGCUAGGAAAGUUAAUGUGGAAGCAUGUCGAGCAAAGUAUAUGAUUGGCAAUUAGGAGUAAUUGUACGCGUAUACGAAACAAUAACGACGUAGAAAUCCCGCUAUUGUGAAGUGAGUAACCUUACCAUCAUUUUAAUUAUCUAAAGUAUGUUUUUAAUCGAUUUUGGUGAAAUUUUAUGAAAAUGAAAUUACAUGGUAAAUCUUGGUGUUUUACAAACAAAAUGUGUUUACAUGAAAAGAUUUUAUAAAUUGUCUUGAAAUUGAAAAAUGAUUUUGAAAAACAGAGUAAUUGGAGACCAUUUAUUAUGUUGUAAAAUUUAUGAUUUGAAUCGAAUGGCUUAUGACAAUAUUUGCAUGAAUGGCUGAAUUGAUAUUUGUGUUGAAAUAUAUGAAAUAUAUAUUUAGCCUUGAAAGGCUGUGAAUUGCAAUAAUUGCCAUAUCAUGUUAUUGAAUUUUAUUGUAUGGUGGGAUAAUUAUUAGCUUACUGCAGUAGGCGGGUUCCGUAGACCAGCCUAUGAAAGGGGCACAGUAACCCCGUUUAUAUGUGCUCACCUCGGUUGUAGAGGCGCGUAGGGUAGCUCCUGAGGUGAUAUUUGAGUUCACUUUACGCCGAACCACCACGUAAUGGUGAACUCAGCCAACGCCAAGGAACAAUUGUGUUUUUCUCAAACUAAAAAUUUGUUUACGUGUAUACAAAAUUUUAACAGCCUUGGCGGGCUCGAGUGUAUGCCUCUGAUCAAGGUGUCGUCGAGUACUAUUUGAUGGCAUGAGCCAAAUGUUUAUAGAAGUCAUAAGCCUAAAUGAGAAAUUAAAUGAAAUACAACCGUUUGCAUGGGUUGGGAUGAAUUUUCAAAUUGUGAAAUACGUAUUAUGAUGGGAUAUUUUGAUUGUCUCCUUUUACUCGGCUUUAGCUUAUUUAAAUGGUGUUUGUUUACUCACUGAGAUUUUAUAAUCUCAUCAUCCUCCUUCCCACCCAUUUCAGGAUCAGAGUAGGUUGUAGAUAGCUGGUUCCAUCGGGGGAUUUCCAUUGGAUUUACGUCUCCCAAACUGUAGGUUCACAGUUUCUUUAAUUCUGGUUAUUGUGGGCCCACUUGAUAUUGUAAAUUUAAAUUAAUUUAAAUACUCUGGUUUAUUGCGUUACAGUAUGAAUGAAUUUAUUUUGUUUUUAUGCUACG
This 2370-nucleotide long non-coding RNA is filed under the name Theobroma cacao (cacao). RNAcentral's name for it is "long non-coding RNA (TCAC_LNC006193)". Lineage: Eukaryota; Viridiplantae; Streptophyta; Magnoliopsida; Malvales; Malvaceae. The record is from RNAcentral.